This 3693-nucleotide ribosomal RNA is filed under the name Triticum aestivum (bread wheat). RNAcentral's name for it is "partial small subunit ribosomal RNA". Lineage: Eukaryota; Viridiplantae; Streptophyta; Magnoliopsida; Poales; Poaceae. The record is from RNAcentral.
GGGAUUGACACGUUGCCACACUUGUCAGGGCACCCCGGCAACGCUAUGGAGAUCCCAGAAGUGGUUGCAGAUAGCGCCGCCACUUUGAAGGCGAUGAGAAUCAGGAGGAUGAAUGCUUCUUUCAUGGUUGGAAACUUGGUGGUUACUUCCUGCGGCGCUGUCUUUCUAACUUGCCAACUUAGGCAACGGUAUCCCAUUUUCCUUCGUUGCUAUCUGAUUGUGUACCCUAGGCUUGAUAGACCAUGGAUCCUCAGACUGGUGCUUAUGUAUGAGCUACUAUUUACAGUUGAUUUGUAUAAUUGUUGAUUAACUAUUUCAUGGGUGACAGCGGCGCACACUUAGGUGUGUUUGAGAAAAAUAAACUAUUUCGUGGGUGAGAUCAGCGUUGAAUGGGAUACUUCUACCUGAAUUUUGUAUUGUUUAAGUGUUCAAAGUUGGAAAACGCAGUGCUUAUUAAGAAACAGAAAUAUAGUUUGUUUAGUCCUUUGUAUUGACAAGUGUCUGAGAGUGAAAGAAAGUGAUACCAGAGUUGCUUAUAUUUUGGAUAAAUCUUGUCACCCAUUUGUAUUGUUUAGUAUUGAGAGUUGAAAAUCACAAUGCAUAUAAUAUUUUUGAUUAGUUCGCUCCCACGUUUCUAUUGAAGGUUUCUCUGAAAUUGAGUAAAGGAUGAUGGUUUAUAUGUUGUUCUGAUUAGUUCACUUAUAAUUUAGAAAAGUCUUCACCGGUUUAUAGGUUAUUCAUAUGCCAGUCAAAGUAUAGCUCGUAGUUUAAUGUCCCACAUGUGAAUGCAUGUCAUAUCUGUUUGGUCAGAUAGCGUAGUUUGGAACUUAUACAUAACAAACUAGAUGGAAGCACUAGUCGAUCAGCUUGAAAAGUCAAGAUAAGCUUAGCCAGCAAUAGUUUGAAGUGCAUAACUAGGCUGAAAUCUGAAAAUAUUUUGACUGUUCAACCGUUUAUCUCCGUUCACAGCUUUCACAGGCAUUAGGUUUUUUGCUGUUGUGGCAGGGAGAAACGAUGAUCCUUGCGCAGAUGCGCCAAAGUGAUACCCUGGAGGUUGCAUGCUGAAGCCCCCCUGGCCUGAAAAAAAUGGACUGUUUACACGCAUGCUGACGAGUGUGAGCCUAGCUUCAGUCCGGUUGGGACUUGGAAGCCGAAUAUGCAUGCAAGCAUCAGAACUGGUCCCAGACUAUCCUAUCUAGCUCCAAACAGGCCGAGUCUGAUUGCGUGGUAUGCUAAGGCGCAAUUUAUCUCAUAAAAGGAGAAGCAUGGGGCUCAGCAGUCAGCACACUCAACACAAUCGCCAAAUUAAGCAAGGGAUGGCGUGAGCCAUGCAUCUAACCUUGCAGAAGCAAACACCAGCUCUGGUUGUAAUGCUCUACCUGAAACUAAUUGUAGUCUUCCUGGUGAUGGCAUUGGCAAAACCUGCGGGUGGUGCCAUGUCCCUGGCGCUCCCAGGCUGCCCUGACAGGUGCGGUGAUGUGCCCAUCCCUUACCCCUUUGGCAUCGGCGCACAGUGUGCCGCGGUCAGCCUCAGCAGCUUCUUCAAUCUCGACUGCGAAAACACCUCCCACCCGCUGCGGCCGACGGUUGGGGGGCCAGCCGAUGUGGCCGUCAACGUUGCUGAUAUCUCGCUGGAGCGCGGAGAGAUGAGGGUGCUCAUCCCUGUCAGCUACAUCUGCUUCACAUCAAGUGCAACCGUAUCGGCGAGCAAUAACAACACCGUGGGGUUCGGCCUGGAGGACACGCCGUUCCUCCCAUCCCCUGGGCGCAACCGCUUUAUGGUUAUUGGCUGCAAUACUCUGGGUCUUGUUGGUGGUUUCCGUGGAGGCACGAGCCAGUACCUUGCUGGCUGCUACUCCUACUGCGAUGGUGCCAGUGGUGCAUCAGACGACGGAGCACCAUGCACUGGGACGGGCUGCUGUGAGGCAUCCAUCCCGACCAACCUCACCGCCUUCAAUGUGGCGUUUCCGAUUAACAGUAGCAGUGUGUGGGGAUUCAAUCCAUGCUUCUAUGCCAUGGUCGCUGAGGUCGGAUGGUACAGGUUCCAGCGUCGUGACCUCGCUGGCGAGCUUGGGUUCAUCAACAACAGGGCAAAGGACGGUGCACCUGUCAUCGUGAACUGGGCGGUUAGGAACGGAUCAUGCCUGGAGCAAAGAAACUAUGCAUGUGUCAGUGCAAACAGUUACUGCGAGAGUGCGAGCAAUGGACCUGGGUACUUGUGCCAUUGUUCCCCUGGUUACGAGGGUAACGCCUACCUGAACAACGGUUGUCAAGAUAUAGAUGAAUGCAUGCUGCGUGAGCAGGACCCCAAAUACGAAGAGUUGUAUCCUUGCAGGAACGGAGUCUGUCUUAACACUCCAGGAGGCUAUGAUUGUAAAUGCAAGAAAAGAACCAAGUCUGAUGGUACAAAGUUCGGAUGCCGACCUCUGUAUUCUCGAGAUGAACAGCUGUUGAUAGGCUUGAGCGUUUCUGCCGUUGUGAUAAUAUCCUUGGCAUGCUUUUUGGCUAUGCAAUUACAAAGAAAAAAGCACAGGAAGGAGAAAGACGAGUAUUUCAAACAAAAUGGAGGGCUCAUGUUAUAUGAUGAGAUGAGGUCAAGGCAGGUUGACACCGUCCGCAUACUCACAGAAAAGGAGAUCAAGAUAGCCACUGACAACUACAACGAAGAUCGAGUUCUUGGAUGCGGCGGCCAUGGAAUGGUCUACAAGGGUACUUUGGAUGACCUCAGAGAGGUUGCUAUAAAGAAGUCCAAAGUGAUUGAUGAUGAUUGCAGGGACGAGUUCGUAAAUGAGAUCAUAAUCUUGUCGCAGAUCAACCACCGGAACAUCGUGAGGUUAUUAGGCUGUUGCCUGGAUAUAGAUGUCCCAGUGUUGGUAUAUGAGUUCGUCUCCAAUGGGACACUAUAUGAGUUUCUUCAUGGUGGGCCUGAUCACAAUCUGUCACCAAUUCCACUUGAUCUCCGCCUGAAGAUCGCCACACAAUCAGCAGAAGCUCUUGCUUACCUGCACUCAUCGACAUCCCGCACAAUUUUGCACGGGGAUGUCAAAUCCGCCAACAUUCUGCUCGACGAUCAGCGCCACGCCAAGGUUGCAGACUUUGGAGCAUCGGCGCUCAAGUCCAUGGACGAAAGCGAGUUCAUCAUGCUCGUCCAGGGAACCCUCGGCUACCUCGACCCUGAGAGCUUCAUCAGCCAUGUCCUCACCGACAAGAGUGAUGUGUACAGCUUUGGUGUCGUUCUCCUCGAGCUGUUGACGAGGAAGAGGGCUCUGUAUGCCGAUAGGUCCUCCAAGGAGAAGAGAUCCUUGUCCCAUAGUUUCCUCCUGAUGUUCGACCAGAACAUGCACCUGAAGAUGCUCGACUCUGAGAUCGCAGAGGAUGCCGCCGCUAUGGUGGUCGUUGAGAAGCUCGCGGCCCUCGCCGUGCACUGCCUGAGCGUGAGAGGAGGCGACAGGCCGACGAUGAAGGAAGUCGCGGAGCGGCUGCAGGUGCUGUGGAGGAUCCAGAUGCGCCAGGCCGGUGAUGGUGACAAGGAUGAUGACUUCGGUGGAGGAUCCCUGUCGCCGGUGGUUCUUCCUUCGGCCGAGGUGACAGAUGGGAGCUUGGAGACGUGAGAACUGGCGCUGGGCGUUUAUGUUCUUGUAUCGUUCGUACUUUGUACGAACAGUUUGUGUGUUUGUGGGAUUUGUAUGGUGU